This 2102-nucleotide long non-coding RNA is filed under the name Equus caballus (horse). RNAcentral's name for it is "lncRNA (ENSECAG00000057941.1)". The record is from RNAcentral. Lineage: Eukaryota; Metazoa; Chordata; Mammalia; Perissodactyla; Equidae.
UUCAAACUGCCCUAUGGAGGAGCCCAAAGGGUGCAGACCUGAGACCUCUGACCAACAGUCAGCAGGGAACUGAGCCCUGCUGCCCACAGCCAUGUAAGCGAGCAUGGAAAUGGAUCCUGUAGCCCUGGUCAAGCCUUCAGACACCUGAAGGGAAUGAUCUCCUUUCCUACUUCUGAGCAUUGUUAGCUACAUGUGAAUCUUGGAACUGCUGCAGUCUUAAUGAUACCUAAGAUACCAGCCUUGAGUGUGUCUUCAUUGAUUCUCGCCACACUUUCUGGAAUAAGAAGAACACAUGUAAUAAUUGUUGAUGAGAACACUGAUGGAUAGAACAUUGUAUAUUUCUCUAGGUCCUAUAAUCUGAUCACAACUUAUUGAGACAUAACAAAGUCUCUUUUGGUCCUUGAGCAUUGUGUGAAGACGUUAUUUUUGAAACUGCUGCAGCCAUCACGUAACUAAGAGGGAGUGAGACUUCACGGGUGGAAAGAACCUGGAUCCUUGAUGACACAGUUGAUUCAUUGAAUCAACCACCCAUCAAAUGCCCAAUCCCUACACUUGAUGAGGAAGUUGAAAUCAAGACAAACAAGUGAUGUGGUCAAGGCUAAACAGUUGGUUAGUUGCUUUGAAGUCAAACCCAUGGCCCUAUUCCUAGUAAUGAACACUUACUACUAGGCUAAUAACUUUUGCUUAUCCUAGAUAAGUUUUCUGUCUUUGGUGCCUAGUCUAGAGAGAAGAACCGGCAGCACCUACUAGAAAGAGAUGAAUGUCAUGCUAAUUUUAUAUGUGACCACGGGUCAGUCACUUCCCCUCACCAGGAAAAGAUGUCUUUAUCUGUAAAAGAGAUGAUUGAAAUAAACUAUCUUGAAGGUCUCUUUUAGUUUUAAUAUUCAAUGAAUUUUGAUCCCUUUUAUUCCAUUUAUACCUAAGGAAAUAGCUAUGAGAGCUAGAAGGGACCUUAAAGGUAAUCUUGUCUAACACUGCAAUAAUCCUUGUCUAACACUACAACCAUCCUCGUCUAACACUAGGAGAGAAAAUGACUUCCCUCAGGGUCACAUGGUCAGUGGAAGGACUCUGGCAUAAACCCCAUUCUUUCACCUAGCAGUCCAAGAUAUCUUCCCUCAUACCUACAGCAACAACUCAGCAAUCGCCUUGGUCUGCCAUUCUUCACCAAUGCACUUUGCAAAUGAAGUUAUUAGUCAAGUUUGAUUAGCUUCAUUUGAUGGAUAAGGAGCCCCACAAAGGAGAAGUAAUGUAUUUGAUUCUUCCAUGAUGAAUUUGCCUGACUCAGAACCCGAGAGCCAGACUCUGUUAUUCUUAUCAUCUCUCUCCUUCCCCCGCCCCUGCAACUGACGUUAUUUGGAAAUAAUAAAAUUAUUUCAAAACACCUUAAUGAGAUUUUAAAUGAGUGUGUAAUUUAUUAUCUAAUUAUGUUUCUAUUCUCUAGAGAAGGGACUGUAUAUUUCAGGCUGCCAACUUUUCUGUAAUCCCUGCCAGUUUGUGGGGGUAGAUAGGCUCUGCAUCAGGUCGGUGGUAGCAGGUCAUCCAUCUUGGCGUCCCUGCGGCAGGCUGGGGUGUUGGAAAACUGUAGAAUUAGAGGCAGGAAACUUAGUUUCUCUGCAACGUGGGGAAAAUCAUUUAACCUUAGUGAAACUGGAGUGAUAACAUCUUCCUUUCCUUCCCCACAGUGCAAUGGUGAGGGGCAUUUGAUAUAAGAAGGAUAAAAGUGAUUUAUGAACUUAAAACUCUUUCUAAAUGAACUUUAGGCAGUAUUAUUUUCAAGGAGAAGCCAAGGGUGGUAUUUAAGCAGCGGGCCCAGUGCUGUCAAUAACUGAGGACAAACACCUGCCGAGAUGCUACAGAUCGAAGACCCCAUCUUAACUGAUUGAAUUAAAGACCAAUUUUAAAUUUUAAAGCUUAAUUCAGAAGUGGGAGUUCUAGGUUUGAAUCCCUAAUCUCUGAUAUCAGCUAUGUGACCUGGAGCAAGUUAGCAACUCUCAUUAAUCCUCUCAAAAAGACAGAGAGAGAGUGGGCAAAAUAAUUUCUAAUCAACAUCUUUUCAUUAAUCCUCUCAAAAAGACAAAGAGAGUGGGCAAAAUAAUUUCUAA